RNAcentral lists this transfer RNA (68 nucleotides) under Pan troglodytes verus. RNAcentral describes it as "tRNA-Pro". The record is from RNAcentral. Lineage: Eukaryota; Metazoa; Chordata; Mammalia; Primates; Hominidae.
CAGAGAAUAGUUUAAAUUAGAAUCUUGGCUUUGGGUGCUGAUGGUGAAGUUGAUUACUUUUUCUCUGA